Papaver somniferum (opium poppy) is the source of this 350-nucleotide long non-coding RNA. RefSeq lists it as uncharacterized. The record is from RefSeq and is a predicted model, not a curated record. The transcript is spliced from 2 exons. Lineage: Eukaryota; Viridiplantae; Streptophyta; Magnoliopsida; Ranunculales; Papaveraceae.
GGUUUUGUUCUCUGAUCUCAUUCGCUCCAUAAAUGUUGUUCUCCUUUCAAACUCAAACUUUAGCCAUUGAUGAUAGGGAUUGAAGUGGGUUAAGAGAUGGAGAAUGGUGGUGGUUGUGUUCUUAUUAGAUAAAGAUGUAAUUGAGUGUAGGUACUUCUUUUGGAUUAUUACCUUGUAGCUAGUACAAUGAAGUUCUCUUUACCCAGCAGCUAGUGGCUCGAAUAUUUGGUUGGCUUGUAAAGUAGAUUCAUUGAAUCACUCAUUCCUUUGAAACGAAACUGAAAUGAUUUAUCUACAGAUCGAAUAUUAUUCUUUUGUGCAAGGGGAUUUGUUAUUCUGUCAGAGAGGCC